CGGGGGCGUAGCUCAGUUGGUUAGAGCGCCGGCCUGUCACGCCGGAGGUCGCGGGUUCGAGUCCCGUCGCUCCCGUCCA
RNAcentral lists this transfer RNA (79 nucleotides) under uncultured Conexibacteraceae bacterium. RNAcentral's name for it is "tRNA-Asp". It matches the Rfam family "tRNA". Rfam says of the family: Transfer RNA (tRNA) molecules are approximately 80 nucleotides in length. The record is from RNAcentral. Lineage: Bacteria; Bacillati; Actinomycetota; Thermoleophilia; Solirubrobacterales; Conexibacteraceae.